RNAcentral lists this long non-coding RNA (200 nucleotides) under Physcomitrium patens. RNAcentral describes it as "long non-coding RNA (PPAT_LNC011145)". Lineage: Eukaryota; Viridiplantae; Streptophyta; Bryopsida; Funariales; Funariaceae. The record is from RNAcentral.
CUCUACAAAUGAAAGCACAUCUCAAUACAUAUUUUUCCACUAAUAUCAUUCCUUGAGUUUAGCAAAAGUAGCGCAGAUUCCUCUAUGCCCUGCCCAUAAACUAUCAUGAAACUCCUUUAAUAAUUUUGGUUUUUCUUCCUUUUUGCCUAUCACUCGUUCUGGCAUCCCAAUUCCUUUCUUCGAUCUCUUACGAAUCCAUC